RNAcentral lists this ribosomal RNA (489 nucleotides) under uncultured bacterium. RNAcentral's name for it is "partial 16S ribosomal RNA". It matches the Rfam family "Bacterial small subunit ribosomal RNA", at positions 30 to 507 of the family's 1533-position model. The record is from RNAcentral.
AGUGAACGCUGGCGGUAGGCCUAACACAUGCAAGUCGAACGGCAGCACAGUAAGAGCUUGCUCUUACGGGUGGCGAGUGGCGGACGGGUGAGGAAUACAUCGUAAUCUACUUUUUCGUGGGGGAUAACGUAGGGAAACUUACGCUAAUACCGCAUACUCCCUACGGGUGAAAGCAGGGGAUCUUCGGACCUUGCGCGUUUGAAUGAGCCGAUGUCGGAUUAUCUCGUUGGGGGGGUAAGGGCCCACCAAGGCGAUGAUGCGUAGCGGGUCUGAGAGGAUGGGCGGGCAGAAGGGGAAUGCGAGACGGCGAAGACUACGAAGGGAGGCAGCAGGGGGGAGUAUGGGACAAUGGGAGGAAGCCUGAUGAAGCGAAGCGGCGGGAGGGAUGGAGGCCUUCGGGUUGUGAACCUCUUUCGCCAGUGAAGCAGGCCUGCCUCGUUUGUGGGUGGGUUGACGGUAGCUGGAGAAGAAGCGCCGGCUAACUACGUG